Molecule: ribosomal RNA, 439 nt
Filed under: uncultured bacterium
Lineage: Bacteria
Description: partial 16S ribosomal RNA
Rfam family: Bacterial small subunit ribosomal RNA
Source: RNAcentral
CUACGGGUGGCAGCAGUGGGGAAUCUUAGACAAUGGGCGCAAGCCUGAUCUAGCCAUGCCGCGUGAUCGAUGAAGGCCUUAGGGUUGUAAAGAUCUUUCAGAUGGGAAGAUAAUGACGGUACCAUCAGAAGAAGCCCCGGCUAACUCCGUGCCAGCAGCCGCGGUAAUACGGAGGGGGCUAGCGUUAUUCGGAAUUACUGGGCGUAAAACGCACGUAGGCGGAUUAGCAAGUCAGAGGUGAAAUCCCAGGGCUCAACCUUGGAACUGCCUUUGAAACUGCUAGUCUUGAGUUCGAGAGAGGUGAGUGGAAUUCCGAGUGUAGAGGUGAAAUUCGUAGAUAUUCGGAGGAACACCAGUGGCGAAGGCGGCUCACUGGCUCGAUACUGACGCUGAGGUGCGAAAGCGUGGGGAGCAAACAGGAUUAGAUACCCCCGUAGUC